RNAcentral lists this long non-coding RNA (273 nucleotides) under Malus domestica (apple). RNAcentral describes it as "long non-coding RNA (MDOM_LNC016383)". The record is from RNAcentral. Lineage: Eukaryota; Viridiplantae; Streptophyta; Magnoliopsida; Rosales; Rosaceae.
GUAAAUAUUUUAAAUUGAAGAUCGAAUUCAAUCAUUGUAUUCAUAUAAGGCCAAGGAGUGUAGUUGUAAAAAAUCAUCAAAAUCGGAGUUAAAUUAACCGUUAAAUCGUGAUUUUUCGUUUAUAACCAACCGUCGAAAAGUUUUGUCCCGUUACAUGCUCUCUGAAUGUUUGUUUUUUGCAAUUUUUGGCGUAUGCGAUCUUGAAAUAUAUACAAACAUGUUUGACGGUUGGAUCAUUGAAACUAGUUUCGUAGAAUGAGUAUCCCAUCAAAA